Molecule: non-coding RNA, 817 nt
Organism: Chiloscyllium plagiosum (whitespotted bambooshark)
Lineage: Eukaryota; Metazoa; Chordata; Chondrichthyes; Orectolobiformes; Hemiscylliidae
Source: RefSeq, a predicted model, not a curated record
GAAUGCUAUGGUGCUUCCUCUGGUGACGCUAACUACCUACAAGGGUGAUCAUCCCAAUUUAAUGCCCUAUGUAUGACUUUCUUACCUGAUCAGGUACAGAAAGCUAUUAAAACCCACAAUAUCCACUGGCAAGAUUCUGAGGUUGCACAAUUCAGCUGAUAGGUUUGGUACUUCUGAGAAUAAAAGGAUCCCAAGAGUAAGACAGAACUUGCCCAAACUACAGUGGCUAAACUUAAACCCAGGAUUCAAAGUAGACCUUUUCGUCUGCAAGGAAGAACUGCUUGAACUGCCUGAUCCUCCCCAUGAUUGUGUUCUCAUAAAUGAACUUGUUACUAAACCAUGUCCUGAUCUUACGGAAAACACAGAUGUGAUCAACAAAACUGGUCAAGAUGCAGGGAAGAUACCUGCCCAACUGUUGUCUGAUUCAUAUGGAUGGAAGUUUACUUGCUGGCUAUGAUCGCUGUGUGGAUGGAUUGUACUGAUAGUCCUUGGUCUCAUCCUAGGAAUAUACACUGUCGUCCGCUUAUGCAUGAAAUGGACUGUACAUUGUUUUCCACCUAAGCCAAAGAAGAGUCUGCUUAAUUGACCCUUGUCUACCCCUCUACCUCCAUGCCUGAACUUCCAUGCUGAAAUCCAGUAUCUUUCAGACUCUACUUCUCUGGACGAUGACCUGGCAGAGGAGGCACUUCACUUAUUUGAAAAUACAAAUUGACUGAAUGGACUAAUUAUUGUCAUAAGCCAAGUAGUUGUCAUGAAAUAACAAAAGAAGGGAAUAAGAAAGUCGAUAGCAUAAAACUUGUUUUUAAACAUUUAAACU